RNAcentral lists this ribosomal RNA (492 nucleotides) under uncultured bacterium. RNAcentral's name for it is "partial 16S ribosomal RNA". It matches the Rfam family "Bacterial small subunit ribosomal RNA", at positions 29 to 507 of the family's 1533-position model. The record is from RNAcentral.
AGUGAACGCUGGCGGUAGGCCUAACACAUGCAAGUCGAACGGCAGCACAGUAAGAGCUUGCUCUUACGGGUGGCGAGUGGCGGACGGGUGAGGAAUACAUCGGAAUCUACUUUUUCGUGGGGGAUAACGUAGGGAAACUUACGCUAAUACCGCAUACGACCUACGGGUGAAAGCAGGGGAUCUUCGGACCUUGCGCGAUUGGAUGCGCCGAUGUCGGAUUAGCUAGUUGGCGGGGUAAAGGCCCACCAAGGCGACGAUCCGUAGCUGGUCUGAGAGGAGGAUCAGCCACACUGGAACUGAGACACGGUCCAGACUCCUAAGGGAGGCAGCAGUGGGGAAUAUUGGACAAUGGGCGCAAGCCUGAUCCAGCCAUACCGCGUGGGUGAAGAAGGCCUUCGGGUUGUAAAGCCCUUUUGUUGGGAAAGAAAAGCAGCAGGUUAAUACCCCGCUGUUCUGACGGUACCCAAAGAAUAAGCACCGGCUAACUUCGUG